This 224-nucleotide ribosomal RNA is filed under the name uncultured bacterium. Its description in RNAcentral is "partial 16S ribosomal RNA". It matches the Rfam family "Bacterial small subunit ribosomal RNA", at positions 524 to 743 of the family's 1533-position model. The record is from RNAcentral.
UACGGGGGGGAGCAAGCGUUGUUCGGAUUUACUGGGCGUAAAGGGCGCGUAGGCGGCGCAACAAGUCACUUGUGAAAUCUCCGGGCUUAACCCGGAGCGGCCAAGUGAUACUGUCGUGCUAGAGUGCGGAAGGGGCUACUGGAAUUCUCGGUGGUAGCGGUGAAAUGCGUAGAUAUCGAGAGGAACACCUGCGGCGAAGGCGGGUAGCUGGGCCGGAACACUGA